UUUUAAGUCCAAACACACACAGUAAAUACAUUCAUAAUUAUUUGUUAGAAAACAGAUUACUUUAAAAUUAAAACGAUAUGAAGUAAUAAUUAUACAUGCAUAAUUCUAAUUAAUUUAAUAAAAAUGAAAUGGUCUUGACAAGUUGAGCAAUUAUUAUGCAGAUCUUACACAAACCAAUAGUGAAAUUAUAGAUAAUUAAAUCAGCAGAUGAAAAUGAUGGAGGGAUCACAGCAACAUUCAUCAAUUAUCCAACAGCAACACAAAGCUGCAAGACUAAGAAAAUAUAACACAAGUCAGAAUUAAUAUAUAAGUAAUUUUAUUUUAUUUAAAAAAAAUCCGUAAUAAUUAUUCAAACAAAGUCAUACUGUGUGUGUGUGUGUGUGUGUGUGUGUGUGAGAGAGAGAGAGAGAGUACCAUCCCUCAAGAAAACUAGGUUCUCUCCUGGGAGGAGCAGCAUAAUACUGUGGAGGUGCCACUACUGGAGGCCCUUGGUAAUAACCUAUUUUAUAUAUAUAUGUCAAGAAUUCACUGAUUUAACAUGUGAGAAAUCUCUUAUAAAGAUAUUAGUAACUGCAUAUAUAUGUAUGUAUAUGGAACACAGAUUAAGAACUAAC
This 614-nucleotide long non-coding RNA is filed under the name Olea europaea subsp. europaea. The record is from RNAcentral. Lineage: Eukaryota; Viridiplantae; Streptophyta; Magnoliopsida; Lamiales; Oleaceae.